AGGCUUUCCCUGGUCAUGAUACUUCUGAAGAUUGUAGUUGUUGUUAUGGACGGUGGAAAUGGUUGGUUCUGAUGGUUUUGGUCUUUUACGGAUUGUUAUUGUUUUUUACGAGGGGCGGCGCAAUCCUUUUCAAUCUCGCAUGUUGUAUCACAAUAUGUUUUCGUUUUUAAUGUUGUCCAUCAAUUAUUCUUAUAUGUGUGACACCAGCAUACUUAUCUGUUGAAUGCCAUGUACAGGCAGAGGAAGUUGUGGUGGAAAAGACCAAAACAAUGAUAAAAAGCCUCUACAUCUUGUCAAAGGUGCCUUUGGACAGUUGCAAAUCAGCUUGUACUUGUAGCAGCAGCUGGACAGGGUCCUGCAAUGCUCGCUCCAUGGGGUGCAGGCUCAUCGUCUACCAUUACUGCCUCUCCGUGCUGGUUCCUACCAAUCUAAAACCGCUCAGGGGUGUUUGGAUUCAGCCACUAAAAUUUAGUUGAGGCCGAGGCCCUCUUUGAGCUCUACAAGAUCAGUUGUUCUAUCAUCGACGACGACCUAUCAACCAGGUGCAUUCAAUAAAAUUCCUCUUUGAUUCCUGUAUCUAUCGUGCAUAUUCUUGUCAUUCAUGACGUGAUUUGGGGUUGAUUUGAACAUCUAUUUUUUUGAAUGAAACAUUCCUUGCACUUGGAAGAUGUGUUUUUUUGUUGCUUUAGGCCUCGGACAAUUUCUUUGGAUUUAAAUAUGGAGGAAAUGGUUACAAAAGACCUGGGAUAGUGACACUCUGUCAUCCUAGGCUAAUGAGAUUGAGCACCUGGUAAUUCCAGCAACAGAUUACCUCUUUGAACCUUCACUCUAGGAUAUUUCUCAAGCCAUAGAUUUCAUCCAUAGGAAUGCAUCACAAGGUGGUACCACAUUACCCAUGAUCUACGUGCUCGGAGACUCCCUGGCGCCUGUCGAGAACAACAAUAACCUGGUGACACUGCUCAAGGCCAACUUCCUACGAAACAACAUCGACUACCUAGGGCACAAGGCCACCGGCUGCUUCAGCAAUGGCAAGAACUCCAUCGACUUCCUCGGAAGAAGGUAGGGGAAAAGCAGGGAAGUAGGUCGUACCACGGUGCCUCGUGCUAUCGCCAACGAGGGAGCUCGCUCAACAACCACAGGGAGACCACAUCGAGCUGCACCAGAAGCGCCAUGGUAAGCACUUGGACCACGAGGUGCGCAAGCACGAGGCGCGCGAGGUGCAUAGGCCUCGAAGGACACUCACAAUUUGAUUGGUACUAAGGGCAAGAGGUUUGUCAAGAAACGCUAUGCUGAGAAGGCGCAGAUGAAGAAGACAUAAGUGCUUGUUUGCUGCUCCUGUUUAUGUGUUGAUAUUUGUGAGCCAAUAACUUUUAACCAUGACUGCUUUACUGGUGUAUCAUACCCUGAGUAGCGGUUGUGAGCAUGAAAAAUUGCUUACGCCCCAUAGAGGUUAUGACUCAGCUUGUCAGCCAUCCCCAACUAAGUUGUGUUCUUCUGAACCAUGCUACUUUGUUCUUUACUGCAACCUGCAUUCGUUGAUGCGAACAAACUAAUUAUGUAUUCCUCUGAUCAUUACUUAGAUGAGGAACAAUCUCUUUGUAUUAUGUGGUCUGACUAUCAUGGUGGAAUUUGUUUAAUCUGUUUAUGUGAUUUGCAAAAGAAAAUGCAAUGAGUAUGCGCCUUUGUGAAAUAAUAAAGUUAACUAUGCAUUAA
This is a long non-coding RNA of Zea mays, 1713 nucleotides long. RefSeq lists it as uncharacterized. Lineage: Eukaryota; Viridiplantae; Streptophyta; Magnoliopsida; Poales; Poaceae. The record is from RefSeq and is a predicted model, not a curated record. The transcript has 7 exons.